CAUGACAUGACAUCAAAUCCAGUAACUGCAAGGUUUAUCGAUGCACAAAAUUUCAGUGAUUGACCAAAUGGAUUGUCCUUAGAGAUUCAACUUUGGAGAUUCGCCACAUGAUUCCAUCAUGUUGAAGCGUGGAUACAAAUCAAAGGCAUGGAGUGGUGCUCAAAAUUGCCGGGUCCCGGUGGUUGUUAUGUCUCUUACAUUGAUGCUAAUGCUGGUGAUUCUCUUUUUGGUAUUUCGUAAUGAUAAUGGUGGUGAAAAACCCAGUUUAGCUUAUGAACUUCCUAAGCUAAAGUGGAAUAGCUUUGACUCAUUGGUGCAAUUGCAUCCAACGAGAGAAUUCCGGAAUGGAACAGAUUUGAUAUGGCAAGUACCUGAAUCACCUAAGGGUGUUCUCUUUGUGGCUCAUGGAUGCAAUGGCAGGGCCAUCAACUUUUGGGAUCAAUCCCCUGAAUGUCCUGAUUGCAUUGGUUUGCCUGAAGAACGACUACUUGUACUUCAUGGUCUUGCCCGAGGCUUUGCUGUUAUUACAAUUUCAAGUGCAAGAAGAUGUUGGACAUAUGGUAAGGAAGUGUUAGUUGUUAAAGAUAUUAUAAAAUGGUGGAUUGGUGGAAGGAAGCUUGAAAAAUUACCUAUUGUGGCUUUGGGUGCUUCUUCUGGAGGGUAUUUUGUAUCUGCGCUUGCCACCGCUAUGAAGUUUAAUAGUAUUGUGCUCAUGAUUGCUGAGGGGAUGUUUGGGGAAAUGGAUAUUAAAGGGGACUACCCGCCUACCCUUUUUGUUCACAUGCCCAAAGAUCUUUAUAGGCAGCAGAAAAUAGAUGAAUAUACGAAGAUUUUAAAAGAUAAAGGGGUUGAUGUUGGUAUUGUUGAGUGCAUGGAGUUCCCAUUGUCACUAAAUACUUUAGCUGAUAGAAUUCCGGGUCUAGAUCAGACUCUUUCUAGAAGGUUAUUUGAAUUCUUUAAGGAAAAUGGUUUUAUUGAUUCAAAUGGAUAUAUGAGGAAAGAUGGACGUCAAAUAAAAUGGAAAAAGAUUCUUGAGGAGAAGAAAACUCUUUUGCUGGAUAAGCAUCUUGUCCCUCAUAUACAGGAGGAGCUAAACCAUGCAUUUGCUUACCAUGAGAUGACCAGCAUGCAUUCUGACCAAAUCUUUAAGUGGUUUGAAUCUCAUAUGAGCUGAUCGGACCAUACUUGCAAUACUCUCUGGUGCUUAAAUUGCUAUCUGCUGUAAAAAAAAAUUGCAGCCAACAGGACUGCUAUGUAAUUAAAACCCACUUGUAUUCAAAGAGAUUGGGGACCUAUCCUUCCUCUUAUUUUACUAGAAAUCAAUCAGAGAUACAGUUACUCACGUGUAAAGAUUUCUGUAGUGGUUACUUUAUCAGAUACCCAGUCUCAAGGGCUGGAAUUUCUUAAUUGGAUGUUACUGUCAGAAGUUAUCAAUUUGAAAGGCAAGACAUAUGGAUGAAUUAAUAUUCCUUGUUUGUUGUCAGAACUGCUUAAAAUCUUUUGGGACUUCAAAAUUAUAUGCAAAUUCUAAUGUCAGGGAUUCUUAAAAUUGAAGUUUUAUGUCAUGU
Molecule: RNA transcript, 1568 nt
Organism: Gastrolobium bilobum
Lineage: Eukaryota; Viridiplantae; Streptophyta; Magnoliopsida; Fabales; Fabaceae
Exons: 3
Source: RefSeq, a predicted model, not a curated record